GGGAACGUACCCUUCGGUUCGGAAUAACUCAGGGAAACUUGAGCUAAUACCGGAUACGCCCUUUUGGGGAAAGGUUUACUGCCGAAGGAUCGGCCCGCGUCUGAUUAGCUUGUUGGUGGGGUAACGGCCUACCAAGGCGACGAUCAGUAGCUGGUCUGAGAGGAUGAUCAGCCACACUGGGACUGAGACACGGCCCAGACUCCUACGGGAGGCAGCAGUGGGGAAUAUUGGACAAUGGGCGCAAGCCUGAUCCAGCCAUGCCGCGUGAGUGAUGAAGGCCUUAGGGUUGUAAAGCUCUUUUGUCCGGGACGAUAAUGACGGUACCGGAAGAAUAAGCCCCGGCUAACUUCGUGCCAGCAGCCGCGGUAAUACGAAGGGGGCUAGCGUUGCUCGGAAUCACUGGGCGUAAAGGGCGCGUAGGCGGCCGAUUAAGUCGGGGGUGAAAGCCUGUGGCUCAACCACAGAAUUGCCUUCGAUACUGAUUGGCUUGAGACCGGAAGAGGACAGCGGAACUGCGAGU
This 520-nucleotide ribosomal RNA is filed under the name uncultured bacterium. Its description in RNAcentral is "bacterial SSU rRNA". It matches the Rfam family "Bacterial small subunit ribosomal RNA", at positions 120 to 674 of the family's 1533-position model. The record is from RNAcentral.